UACGUAGGGUGCAAGCGUUAUCCGGAAUUAUUGGGCGUAAAGAGCUCGUAGGCGGUUUGUCGCGUCUGCUGUGAAAACUGGAGGCUCAACCUCCAGCCUGCAGUGGGUACGGGCAGACUAGAGUGCGGUAGGGGAGAUUGGAAUUCCUGGUGUAACGGUGGAAUGCGCAGAUAUCAGGAGGAACACCAAUGGCGAAGGCAGAUCUCUGGGACGGUACUGACGCUGAGACGCGAAAGCGUGGGGAGCGAACAGG
Molecule: ribosomal RNA, 253 nt
Filed under: uncultured bacterium
Lineage: Bacteria
Description: partial 16S ribosomal RNA
Rfam family: Bacterial small subunit ribosomal RNA
Source: RNAcentral